UGAGGCAGGGAUCGCCCCCAGUCAGCGCGUUGCGCCCACUGGGGCAAACUUC
RNAcentral lists this small RNA (52 nucleotides) under Sulfitobacter noctilucicola. RNAcentral's name for it is "ffh sRNA". It matches the Rfam family "ffh sRNA". The record is from Rfam by way of RNAcentral. Lineage: Bacteria; Pseudomonadati; Pseudomonadota; Alphaproteobacteria; Rhodobacterales; Roseobacteraceae.